CCCUUAGAUGUUCGGGGCCGCACGCGCGCUACACUGAAGGAAUCAGCGCGUCUUUCUCCUUGUCCGAAAGGACUGGGUAACCCGCUGAACCUCCUUCGUGCUAGGGAUUGGGGCUUGCAAUUCUUCCCCAUGAACGAGGAAUUCCCAGUAAGCGCGAGUCAUAAGCUCGCGUUGAUUACGUCCCUGCCCUUUGUACACACCGCCCGUCGCUACUACCGAUUGGAUGGUUUAGUGAGAUCCUCGGAUUGGUCCCGGCGCGGCCUCUGGUCGUGCCGGAGUGCCGAAAAGAAUGUCGAACUUGAUCAUCUAGAGGAAGUAAAAGUCGUAACA
Molecule: ribosomal RNA, 330 nt
Filed under: uncultured eukaryote
Lineage: Eukaryota
Description: partial 18S ribosomal RNA
Rfam family: Eukaryotic small subunit ribosomal RNA
Source: RNAcentral